Molecule: long non-coding RNA, 2569 nt
Filed under: Gossypium barbadense (sea-island cotton)
Lineage: Eukaryota; Viridiplantae; Streptophyta; Magnoliopsida; Malvales; Malvaceae
Description: long non-coding RNA (GBAR_LNC018269)
Source: RNAcentral
UUAAACGCUUUUUUCACAUAUAAGAAUUUAUUUCCGGUAAGCCAUUUUACUCGUGAUAUGGGGAAUGAAAUCAAGCUGCAACAUUUCCCAAAUCGUCCCUUCAUCUCCUCUCCUCUCCUCUCUCUUCGGCGUCACCUCUUCUCCUCUCUCCGGCAGUUCAAUACGCAGGUACAGGGAUUUUGAAACCUUUGAUUUUCUGUUUUCUUUUCUUUUGAAAAGUUAUGGGUUUUCUCUUAUGAGUUUAUCUGUAUCUUCUUCCCUAAUAAGAUUGAAAAUUAAUGGGUAAUCUGUGUUAUCUUAAUUCAUCUCUUUUAGAAGCCGGCAAUCAAAUUAUUUAUUCUGUAGUUCUGAAAUUUUUUAGAUUCUUAAUUGUUUCAUGAGUCCUUAACUUCUCAUUUUCCUUCUCCUUUUGGUUGGUGCUGACUGUAUCUCUUUUAAAUUUAGCUUUUAUCUUUCACAAAAUAAAUUUUAAAAAAAAGGUUUUCAUUUUCGAAAUGGAUGACUUAAUAUUAUUUGAUGGAAUUAACAACGAAAGGAUAAACUUUUUGUUGUUCUUUAGCAACUUGCUUUUUGCUUUUCAUUUCUUUUGAAAGUUCAAAACAUAAGAUUUUUGUAUAAAGAUGAUUUGAAGUACUCUACUCAGAUUUUGUCAGAACUUCCAACCUCAAUAGUUGAUUCGGAUCCAAUACGAUACAGGUAACUGAUUAUGUUUUUCUUAGAGUUUCAAGGUGCGCGUGAGAUUCUUUUUCUGGUUUGGGAUGUGUUUUUUAUUUGGUUUUCAAAGUGGGUAAAAAGUUUUCAUCAGUUUAGUUUGAAGGGUUUUUUGGAAUAGGGGAUUGGUCAUUGGGAGCAAUAUCGGAAAAUUAAGUAUAGGAGCUGUCAUUGGAUUAGCUUGAGUGGCUUUGGUUUCUUAUUUGGUUAUAAUGUUUUAGCAUCAUGUGCUUGUGACUUGAAUUAUAAGGAGCGGUGGAUUGAGUAAUUUUUAUGACAUUGUGCAACUUGAACCUGAUAGGCUUAUCUUCUUACAAGAUUUGGUUGUUGCUUUUAAUUUACCUUCUUACAUUAUUGUUUAUAAUGUUAUGUUGUGGUACAUUUGAUCUUGAUUUUGGUGCUUUAUGUUGUGUAAUUUUCUUUUAAGAAUUCUAUCUUUAAUAGAUACUCAUUUUACUGAGAAAAAACAGUUGUUUAAUAAAUCCAAAAACUUCAAGAGUUCCAACUAUGAGAGGAGCUUUAAGAAACCCAAAAAUGGAGAUAACCUUGAGAAACUCCAAAAUGGAGAGACAUAACAUGGGAGAAAAUCCCAAAAGUAAUAUGGAGAGAAACUCCAAAACAAAAAUUGAGAGAGAUGAAACGCAAAGAACAAUAUAAGAGAGCUUUGAGGGGAUUUAGCUAUGAAUAUUUGCUCGUUUUCCAUAGAUGAUGUCAAUUGUUUCAUUCACUCUAAGACAAAUCAAGUUUGGAGAUGGACUUGUGUGUUCUCAGAUUCUUGCAAGAUGAAGGUAAAUUAUGGAGGUGUUGAAAUUUGUGCUUUAGAAUGUUCUUCGAUGCUGAAGUCAGUGAGUGAGCUUAGUAAUUGUGUAAGUGGGUGAAAAUGAAGAAGAGAGAUGGGAAGAUAGAGAUGAAAGAACUCUUAUAAGGGAUUAAUACCUCUAAUUUUAUACUUGGUCCCUAAGGCUGCUUCUUACUGGUUUGUGGAUGUAGAAUGAUCCCACAUUAUACCAAGUUGAUGGAGGUAGAAUAGUCUCACAUUUUCCUUAUUCACGUUAUGGAUUGAGCCAUGGAGAUGCGCUCAGCAAUUUUCAGAUUCUUGUAAGACGAAGGUAAACUAUAGGGGAGCCAGAGCUUGUGCUCUGAAACACUCCCCGAUGCUUAUCAAUGGGUGAGCUUGGUAAUUGUGUAAGAUAAUGGGAGAGAUGAAAAUGAAGAAGAGAGAUGAGAAAAUCAAGAUGAAGAUGAGAGAACUUUUGUAAGGGAUUAAUACCCCUAGUCUUAUACUUGGUCCCCGAGGUUGCACCUUAUUGAUUGGUGGAUGUAGAAUGAUCCUACAUGGUAUGAAGUUGGUGGAUGUAGCAUUAUAUAUUCUUAUGAAUCUUGAGAUACUAAUUUAUUUUUUGUAGAUUUUAAUGCAUUUUGUGCAAUCAUUCGCGAUUUAAUUAUUUUGUUCUCAUAUUUUGUUGAUGUGGUGUAAUUAUGUUAGAGUCGAAAAAUGUUGAACUCUUACUGAAAAUAUUCAAUGACUUCUAAUAAUUUGUCGCAUCAUCGAGUAUGUGUCAUUUUGUGUUAUAAUUGCUUUCAAUGUAAUAUAUAUUUAUAUAAUUUUUUAAUGAUUGGUUUUUUUUUUCCUGAAAGAAAGAUACAACAAAACUUGCCGUUGGCGGUGAAAGACAAGUUUGGUCAAUACAAACAAAGACUUCAGCCGUAUCAAGAAUGGAACAUUGAUAAAUGGUUUUGCCACAACUCAAGCAAGACAUAUUUAGGGUGACUAUAAGCACCUAACAUGAUAAGGGAACUAGCCUUGAAGGGUUCAAAGUGAUAAAUAAAAUAAUAAAAAAGAAUUGAGCAUUCACCA